Non-coding RNA from Homo sapiens (human), 5224 nucleotides. NCBI's taxonomy places the organism in Eukaryota, Metazoa, Chordata, Mammalia, Primates, Hominidae. The record is from RefSeq and is a predicted model, not a curated record.
UCUAUGAAAACAGGGAAUAGAAAUAAUACUCAUAAUGACAGCCAUUUCCUGUUAAGAUCAAGGAUCUGUUUCUCUUUUUCUUUUUUUUUUGGUUUGAUGGUUGGAAACAUACCUAAAAGCAUAAACAAAAUAAUCACCCACCAUGCUCCCACUCCACAGAAUUAACCAUUGUUCAUCUUUUCCCAUAUUUGUUGUUUAUGUUCUUUUCUAAAUUACACAAAUAUAUAAGGACAUGAAGUUUUUUUUUGUUUUGUUUUGUUUUUUGACGGAGUCUCGCUGUUGCCCAGGCUGGAGUGCAAUGGUGCAGUCUUGGCUCACUGCAACCUCCACUUCCCAGGUUCAAGCAAUUCUCCUGCCUCAGCCUCUCUAGUAGCUGGGAUUACAGGCGCCUGCCGCCAUGCCCGGCUAAUUCUUGUAUUUUUAGUACAGAUGGGGUUUCACCAUCCUGGCCAAGCUGGUCUUGAAUUCAUGACCUUGUGAUCCACCUGCCUCGGCCUCCCAAAGUGCUGGGAUUACAGGCGUGAGCCACCGCGCCUGGCCCAAGGACAUGAAGAUUUUUAAAUAAGAACAGGGAACUCUAGCUCUACGGCCCCUUCCAGCUCCGGGUGGAUCCUGCUCCCCCUAUUCCCAGAGGUCCCACUGCAAGUCCUGUGCAGCCUUCUAGUCCACUUGUUUUAUGUAUAUUUACAUGUAGCCAGAUAACAUGUAACAUGUUUUGGUUAUAUUUAACAUAAAUGGUAUCAACUUCUUUUUUUCACUCUUGGAAAUGUAUCCAUAUUUACAAACAGGGUAGUAAUUCGCCUUGCUUAUUAACUGUAUGUUUUCAAAUCCCUCACCUCACUGUCAAGCUUCAUUGCUUUAUAGUAAUUAUCACAUGAUAUAGGCUAUUUAUCCAAUUCUCUGACAGCAAAAAAACUGGAACCCAUCCAAUUUUCCAAAUGAAUUGUCUCUCAUUAGGGUUGUUUCUAAACCGGGAAAAAACUGAUUCAAAGUGCAAAGUGAAUGCAAAAAUUCUAUAUUUUCUAUGAAAGGAAACUUUUACUAAGAGCUUAAUAGUAUACAUAUUUUUAGUUUUUUUGUUUGUUUGUUUUUUGUGGAGGGGUGGGGUGGCAGGUGGAGGAUAUUGAGACAGGGUCUCACUCUGUGGCCCAGGCUGGAGUGCAGUACCUCAAUCACAGCCCACUGUAGCCUCAAACUCCUGGGCUCAAGCAAUCCUCCUAUAUCAGUCUCCCAAAUAGCUGGGACUACAGGCGCGCACCACCACAACUGGCUAUUUUUGUUUUUUUUUUUUUUUUAUUUUUAAAAGAUGGGGUCUCCUUAUGUUACCCAGGCUGGUCUCAAAUUCCUGGACUCAAGUGAUCCUCCCAUCUCACCCUCCCUAAGUGCUGGGAUCACAGGCAUGAGCCACCUUCACCCUUCACACAGCCUAGUUUUCCUUUUUUUUUUUUUUUUUUUUUUUUUUUGAGACAGGGUCUUUAACCUCUGCCUCCUGGGUUCAAGCAAUUCUCCUGCCUCAGCCUCCCGAGUAGCUGGAAUUACAGGCAUGCACCACCAUGCCUGAUUAAUUUUUGUAUUUUUAGUAGAGACGGGGUUUCGCCAUGUUGGCCAGGCUGGUCUCAAACUCCUGGCCUCAAGUGAGCCACCUACCUUGGCCUCCCAAAGUGCUGGGAUUACAGGCAUUAAGCCACUGCACCCGGCCUAGUUUUCCUUUUUUUUCUUUAGUUGAGAUGGAGUUUCACACAUGUUGUCCAGGCUAGAGUGCAACAGUGCAAUUUCGGCUCACUGCAACCUGUGCCUCCCGGGUUCAAGCAAUUCUCCUGCCUCAGCAUCCCAAGUAAGUAGCUGGGAUUAUAGGUGCCCGCUACAACGCCCGACUAAUUUUUUGUAUUUUUAGUAGAGACAGGGUUUCACCAUGUUGGCCUGGCUGGUCUUAAACUCCUGACCUCAGGUGAUCCAACCUGCCUUGGCCUCCCAAGGUGCUGGGAUUACAGGCGUGAGCCUCCAUACUGGGCCUUAGUUUUCUUUUUAAUAGCAAGUUUAUUUCAGUGUUAACCAAUCAAAUUCAGUUGCAUAUUCUAAGAUAUUCGUAAAAAUAUUUCAUAGAAUCCCUUUUGCCUGAAAAGGCAGUAAGGGCAGUUAAUAAUGCUCCUAUAUUAAUGGAUUUUUUUUUUUUUUUUGAGACUGUGUCUCAUUCCAUCGCCCAGACUGGAGUAAAGUAGCGUGAUCCUGGCCCACCACAACCUCCGCCUCCCAGGCUCAAGCGAUUCUCCUGCCUCAGCCUCCCAAUAGCUGGGGUUAUAGGCGCCCGCCACCAUGCCCAGCUAAUUUUUUGUAUUUUUGUAGAGACCAGGUUUCACCAUGUUGGCCAGGCUUGUCUCAACCUCCUGACCGCAAGUGAUCCACCCACCUCAGCUGCCCAAAGUACUCAGAUUACAGGCGUGAGCCACCAUGCCCGGCCAAGAAGAGGUCUUUAACACUUACUCUCAAUUCAUGUACUUAUCUCAUGAUAGGCUAGAAGCAAACAAACCUCCCUCUUCUGUGGCUGCAGUAUUUCUCAUUGGACAGACAUUUAUUUUAUUUAUUUAUUUUUCAUGCUUUGUUAAUGUUAACAUACUACUGCUGCUUUUAACAUUUCAUGAAUUUCUGGAACAUUCUAUGGGAGUAACAUAAAAUGUUCUAUACUAUUUAACUACAAGCAAAAAUAGAGUAUGAAGCUUUUCAGAAUGACAACUGUCACAAUUAUGAACUAAAACUCAGAGAGGGUCACCCAUUAGUUUCCUUGGUUACAUCCAUUGUAAAAGAAGCAAGAUCAAAUGCACUGGAUCAGACACACAAGUCCUACAAUAAGUGUCCCUGAAAUAACCUAAAUAUAAUUGUAAAUAUAAAAGAAAAACAAAACUCCACAUUUAAAAUAUUCAAGAUAAAGAGAAUUCGGACUGAGACAACUUGUUAGUUCAAGCAGUUUCAUUUCUGCUGGUGGGACAUGGCCUCCUGCUAUACAUACAGGAUCUACUGAAGUCUUCAUUCUCUCUCUGAAUCCAGCAGUUAAUGAACAUUCUGAAGAACAAAAAAUUAUCUUGCAGUCCUGCCAUAGUGGUUUAUUUUCAUAAAAUCCUCUUCAGAUGAAUCAAGCUCAAUACUACUAAUCUUAUAUUUGUCUUACAUUAUUACUAGAACUGUUUUGUUUUUCACAAAUACAUAACAUACUAAUAAAGAAGAAGAAAAAAAUAAAAAAGCACCUAUGGAGACUAAACAAGCAGCAGUAGGCCUUACUUUAAAUGUCUGUCCAGGCCAGGUGCAGUGGCUCACACCUGUAAUCCCAGCACUUUGGGAGGCCAAGGCAGCUGAAUAACCUGAGGUCAGGAGUUUGAGACCAGCUUGGCCAACAUGGUGAAACCCCGUGUCUACAAAAGUACAAAAAUUAGCUGGGCGUGUGUGCGCGCCUGUAUUCACAGAUACUCGGGAGGCUGAGGCAAGAGAAUCACUUGAACCCGGGAGGCGGAGUUUGAAGUGAGCCAAGAUCGUGCCACAGCACUCCAGCCUGGGCGACAGAGUAAGACUCCGUCUCAAAAAUAAAUAAAUGUCUGUCCAGUCAGAAGUACUCCACCCACAGAGGAGGGAGGUUUGUUUGUUUCCAGCCCAUAAUGAGAUAAGUACAGGAAUUGAGAGUAAGUGUUCAGAAACUUUGAUUUAUUUUUUCAGAUGGAGUCUCUCUCUCUUGCCAGGCUGGAGUGCAGUGGCGCAAUCUAUCUCCACCUCCCAGGUUCAAGCGAUUCUCCUGCCUCAGCCUCCCAAGUAGCUGGGAUUACAGGCGCGUGCCACCACGCCUGGCUAAUUUUUGUAUUUUUAGUAGAGACGGGCUUUCACCAUGUUGGCCAGGAUGGUCUUGAUCUCUUGACCUCAUGAUCCGCACACCUCAGCCUCCCGAAGGGCUGGGAUUACAGGCAUGAGCCACCGCGCCCAGCCAAAUGUUUAGAAACUUUUAUGCCAAUUUGACACAGAAAGCUUUUGUCUGCUGAAGAUAAUUUAAAAAAAAAAAGGGCUUUAAAUGAAAUUAUUUCUACCAAAAUAUACAUUUUAGACACUCCUGGUCUCUUUUCUUUGGCACAUCAAUAAGAUAACUGAACAAAGACAUCUCUAUCUGAAUAGAAAAUGAUUCAUUGUAAGCAUCAAAGAAUCAGAACUGGAAGAAAUGUAGCCGACCAUCUAACUUGCCCGCAGUCAGGGAGACUUCUCUGCCUGAACUUCCUGGACCUUCUCCCUCUUAGAUUUCUCAAGAUGGAAACUCCAAAGUCAUUCCUGUAGCCAUUCCUGCGUUUAAUUGCCCAAGAGGUAAAAUAAAUUUCCCGUAUAUCCAAAGGGAAUCUAUCUUAUUUAAACUGAAUUGGGGUUGACCUUUAAUCCUCCAGAUGUAUCUUAUUACUGUACCUCAGCCAGGCACAGCGGCUCACACCUGUAAUCCCAGAAUUUUGGGAGGCCAAGGCAGGAAGAUCAACAUGAACCCAGGACCAGCCGGGGGAAACAUAGCAAAACCCUGUCUCUACAGAAACUACAAAAAUUGGCCAAGCACGGUGGCUCACGCCUGUAAUCCCGACACUUUGGGAGGCCAAGGCAGGUGGAUCACGAGACACGGGGGCACAUGCUGGUGCCCAAGCUGCAUCUGUGGCUGUUGAUGCUGGGCCCAUCCCUUUGAACAGUGAGCACAGAUAACAAGAGUACCUGCUGACUUGGCCCAAGAAGCUUGAUUUUCUUCAGGUGUCCCAAAGAUAUUAGAGGCCAUUUUGUUCUUCCUCACAGGUUGUUCUGUUGGUUCAUCAAAACCUAAUGAAAAAUUGGAUCCACCACCUGGAGGCCGCAAAACUCUGCAAAUAAUGGCAAAACAUCAACUUCAGAUCAUACUGAAACAUUUCUUGGCAUAAAUCUUUUCAGACAACUUUCAUUUCACUUUCCUCACCCAUUCAUCUCCCUCACCCCUACAACAGAUAGCUGCUAACAGGAAAAAAGAAUCAACUCCAUCAGUGUCUACAUUCAGUGCUGGAUGUUAAGAUACUAAAUACUGCUUUAUAAUACUUGUAAUAAGGUCAUCGAUCACACAAGGCAGCUGAAACAGCAUGGAACUCAUCAUAAAUAACAGCCUGGUUGGUGUCCCCUUUUCAGAAAUGGCAAAAGAUCUAAUGGACCUUACUCUACUGGGCUUGGCUGAAUAUACUUUCAAAGAAGUUUA